ACCGAAACCAACUGUUGUACGG
RNAcentral lists this non-coding RNA (22 nucleotides) under Arabidopsis thaliana (thale cress). Lineage: Eukaryota; Viridiplantae; Streptophyta; Magnoliopsida; Brassicales; Brassicaceae. The record is from RNAcentral.